GCAUUGGUGGCUCAAUGGUAGAAUUCUCACCUCCCAUGCAAGAGACCUGGGUUCAGUUCCUGGCCAAUGUA
This 71-nucleotide transfer RNA is filed under the name Loxodonta africana (African savanna elephant). It matches the Rfam family "tRNA". Rfam says of the family: Transfer RNA (tRNA) molecules are approximately 80 nucleotides in length. Lineage: Eukaryota; Metazoa; Chordata; Mammalia; Proboscidea; Elephantidae. The record is from Rfam by way of RNAcentral.